RNAcentral lists this small RNA (1537 nucleotides) under Pongo abelii (Sumatran orangutan). RNAcentral's name for it is "processed transcript". The record is from RNAcentral. Lineage: Eukaryota; Metazoa; Chordata; Mammalia; Primates; Hominidae.
CCACUAGCAGAGACUUUGGGAUAGGGCAGAACCAUGGGGAAGGAGGACCCUCAGGAGGAGACCUGGUCAACUUUCCUUUAAGCGCCUGCAGGUGACAUCCCGGAGACUGUGCCUUUGUCCACUGUCAAUAGACAGUGUUCGUCGGGGCUACAGGCAGUGGCCAGCAUAGCAGGUGGCAUCAGAAAUGGGUCUUAUGACAUUGGCAUGGCCUGUGGGGUGGAGUCCAUGUCCCUGGCUGACAGAGGGAACCCUGGAAAUAUUACUUCGCGCUUGAUGGAGAAGGAGAAGGCCAGAGAUUGCCUGAUUCCUAUGGGGAUAACCUCUGAGAAUGUGGCUGAGCGGUUUGGCAUUUCACGGGAGAAGCAGGAUACCUUUGCCCUGGCUUCCCAGCAGAAGGCAGCAAGAGCCCAGAGCAAGGGCUGUUUCCAAGCUGAGAUUGUGCCUGUGACCACCACGGUCCAUGAUGACAAGGGCACCAAGAGGAGCAUCACUGUGACCCAGGAUGAGGGUAUCCGCCCCAGCACCACCAUAGAGGGCCUGGCCAAACUGAAGCCUGCCUUCAAGAAGGAUGGUUCUACCACAGCUGGUGAGACUGGUCCGGGGUGGGGGUGUGAGAAAGGCCAUGGCCAUGCGGGGUGCUGUACUCUGGGAACCUGGAAUAGACCAGGCCCCUCUGCAAAGUAGAAGUGGGAGGGCUGGGAUCUCCUCAGCCCCACCCCGAUGCCUUCUUACCCCAACAGUUUGCCCCUAGGAAACUCUAGCCAGGUGAGUGAUGGUGCAGCUGCCAUCCUGCUGGCCCGGAGAUCCAAGGCAGAAGAGUUGGGCCUUCCCAUCCUUGGGGUCCUGAGGUCUUAUGCAGUGGUUGGGGUCCCACCUGACAUCAUGGGCAUUGGACCUGCCUACGCCAUCCCCGUAGCUUUGCAAAAAGCAGGGCUGACAGUGAGUGACGUGGACAUCUUCGAGAUCAAUGAGGCCUUUGCAAGCCAGGCUGCCUACUGUGUGGAGAAGCUACGACUCCCCCCUGAGAAGGUGAACCCUCUGGGGGGUGCAGUGGCCUUAGGGCACCCACUGGGCUGCACUGGGGCACGACAGGUCAUCACGCUGCUCAAUGAGCUGAAGCGCCGUGGGAAGAGGGCAUAUGGAGUGGUGUCCAUGUGCAUCGGGACUGGAAUGGGAGCCGCUGCCGUCUUUGAAUACCCUGGGAACUGAGUGAGGUCCCAGCCUGGAGGUGCUACGCAGACAGUCCUGCUGCUCUAGCAGCAAGGCAGUAACAUCACAAAAGCAAAACUACAUGGGAAAACUCAGCACUGGUGGUGGUGGCAGUGGACAGAUCAAGGCACUUCAACUCAUUUGGAAAAUGUGAACACUGGUGACAUGGUAUAGGAGUGGGUGGGGUGUUGAGCCACCCAUCGGACCCUCUUUAGCUGUGCAAGACAAAAGCAGCCUGGGUCACCCAGGCCACAAGGCCAUGGUUAAUUCUUAAGGCAAGGUGAAUCCAUGGAUGAGAAGUGCAAUGGGCAUAGUAAAAGUGCAUGAA